Molecule: ribosomal RNA, 253 nt
Filed under: uncultured bacterium
Lineage: Bacteria
Description: partial 16S ribosomal RNA
Rfam family: Bacterial small subunit ribosomal RNA
Source: RNAcentral
UACGGAGGGUGCGAGCGUUGUCCGGAAUCAUUGGGCGUAAAGAGCGCGUAGGCGGCCAGAUAAGUCCGGUGUGAAAGUCACAGGCUCAACCUGUGAAUGCCGCUGGAAACUGUCUGGCUAGAGUCCGGAAGGGGCGAGUGGAAUUCCUGGUGUAGCGGUGAAAUGCGCAGAUAUCAGGAGGAACACCAAUGGCGAAGGCAGCUCGCUGGGACGGUACUGACGCUGAGGCGCGAAAGCGUGGGGAGCAAACAGG